UACAGAGGUCUCGAGCGUUGUUCGGAUUCAUUGGGCGUAAAGGGCGCGUAGGCGGCGGGGUAAGUCUGGUGUGAAAUCUAGGAGCUCAACUCCUAAACUGCACUGGAUACUGCUCUGCUGGAGGACUGGAGAGGAGACUGGAAUUUACGGUGUAGCAGUGAAAUGCGUAGAUAUCGUAAGGAAGACCAGUGGCGAAGGCGAGUCUCUGGACAGCAACUGACGCUGAGGCACGAAGGCCAGGGGAGCAAACAGG
This 253-nucleotide ribosomal RNA is filed under the name uncultured bacterium. Its description in RNAcentral is "partial 16S ribosomal RNA". It matches the Rfam family "Bacterial small subunit ribosomal RNA", at positions 524 to 776 of the family's 1533-position model. The record is from RNAcentral.